RNAcentral lists this transfer RNA (85 nucleotides) under Felis catus (domestic cat). It matches the Rfam family "tRNA". Rfam says of the family: Transfer RNA (tRNA) molecules are approximately 80 nucleotides in length. Their secondary structure includes four short double-helical elements and three loops (D, anti-codon, and T loops). The record is from Rfam by way of RNAcentral. Lineage: Eukaryota; Metazoa; Chordata; Mammalia; Carnivora; Felidae.
GCCUGGAUGGCUCAGUGGGUUAAGCAUCUGACUUUGGCUCAGGUCAUGAACUCACGGUUUGUGAGUUCGAGCCCCACGUCGGGCU